UGGGGAAUAUUGGACAAUGGGCGCAAGCCUGAUCCAGCAAUGCCGCGUGUGUGAAGAAGGCCUUCGGGUUGUAAAGCACUUUUAUCAGGAGCGAAACGCUGUCGGCUAAUACCCGGCGGAACUGACGGUACCUGAGGAAUAAGCACCGGCUAACUUCGUGCCAGCAGCCGCGGUAAUACGAAGGGUGCAAGCGUUAAUCGGAAUUACUGGGCGUAAAGCGUGCGUAGGCGGUUUCUUAAGUCUGCUGUGAAAUCCCCGGGCCCAACCUGGGAAUGGCAGUGGAUACUGGGAGGCUAGAGUGUGUCAGAGGGUGGUGGAAUUCCCGGUGUAGCGGUGAAAUGCGUAGAGAUCGGGAGGAACAUCAGUGGCGAAGGCGGCCACCUGGGACAACACUGACGCUGAGGCACGAAAGCGUGGGGGAGCAAACAGGAUUAGAUACCCUGGUAGUCCACGCCCUAAACGAUGCGAACUGGAUGUUGGUCUCAACUCGGAGAUCAGUGUCGAAGCUAACGCGUUAAGUUCGCCGCCUGGGGGAGUACGGUCGCAAGACUGAAACUUAAAGGAAUUGACGGGGUCAUAGCUGUUUCCUG
Molecule: ribosomal RNA, 590 nt
Filed under: uncultured bacterium
Lineage: Bacteria
Description: partial 16S ribosomal RNA
Rfam family: Bacterial small subunit ribosomal RNA
Source: RNAcentral